Molecule: ribosomal RNA, 494 nt
Filed under: uncultured bacterium
Lineage: Bacteria
Description: partial 16S ribosomal RNA
Rfam family: Bacterial small subunit ribosomal RNA
Source: RNAcentral
GACGAACGCUGGCGGCGUGCUUAACACAUGCAAGUCGAACGGUGAAGCGCCUUCCUUUUUGGUGGGUGUGGAUGAGUGGCGAACGGGUGAGUAACACGUGAGUAACCUGCCCCCUUCUUCUGGAUAACCGCAUGAAAGUGUGGCUAAUACGGGAUAUUCUGGGUCUGUCGCAUGAUGGGUCUGGGAAAGAUAUUGUUUCGGUGGGGGAUGGGCUCGCGCCCUAUCAGCUUGUUGGUGGGGUGAUGGCCUACCAAGGCGGUGACGGGUAGCCGGCCUGAGAGGGUGGACGGUCACACUGGGACUGCGACACGGCCCAGACUCCUACGGGAGGCAGCAGUGGGGAAUAUUGCACAGUGGGCGCAAGCCUGAUGCAGCGACGCCGCGUGAGGGAUGGAGGCCUUCGGGUUGUGAACCUCUUUCGCCAGUGAAGCAGGCCUGCCUCGUUUGUGGGUGGGUUGACGGUAGCUGGAUAAGAAGCGCCGGCUAACUACGUG